This is a long non-coding RNA of Mercurialis annua (annual mercury), 784 nucleotides long. RefSeq lists it as uncharacterized. NCBI's taxonomy places the organism in Eukaryota, Viridiplantae, Streptophyta, Magnoliopsida, Malpighiales, Euphorbiaceae. The record is from RefSeq and is a predicted model, not a curated record. The transcript has 4 exons.
AUCGAAUGAUAAAGCGAUUAGUGGAUUAAAUUGGACGAAAGAAAAGUUAGAAAUUGAAAGGUAUGGAGGUGGCAACUUCAAGGAUUAAAGGAGGCACUUUGCCAAUAAUAUAUAAACCCUUUUCAUUUGAUUUAAACCAGCAAAAAAAUCAAAUUCAGCUAGCAAAAUCGUUCAUCCUACUCCUCCAUUGAAGAACAUUCAACAAAACUUGAAAUCACCAUAACUUUUUCAUUUGUGGUCCGAUUGAUGCGAUUCUUACGGCCACGGAAAGAGGAAGACGACCUCUACUGAUUGAGACCAGAAAUUUAAGGUGUUUAUUAGCUUCCAUGGACCAAUUUUGAUGAUGAAUCUUGGAGCUAGACCCUUUGGAUUUGAGGCUUCAAUCAAGAUCGGACGAGCGACUAUCGAAAAAGGUUUGAGGCAAACGGAUCGAGAUAUCGUCAUAAUUAUUUGAAGAAUUUGGAUAGCAAGUGGGAUAGCAUGAUAUUAUUUGGAAAGUCAAGCUUCCGAAGUUUUAAUUCUCGGAAGUCAUUUGCACAACAAGUGAAAGAAGGUUUUCAUUCUAGCAGUCCGCAGUAGUCUAGAUUUUUUUGUCUAUGUAUUUGACUAGCGCAUUUUAACUCUGAUAUUUUUGUAAAAUGGGGUCACAUGUAUUUUGAUAUAUGAAAAAAAUGAUUUGAUUUACGAAAAAUUUACACAGGUUUUUAGGCUUGCUACGGGUUUCGGAGCUACCACUCCCAUUCCCUAGCGCUGGUUGCGGCUCGAGAAAUCGGGUCGUGACAUA